AUUGAACGCUGGCGGCAGGCUUAACACAUGCAAGUCGAGCGGGGAAGAGUAGCUUGCUACUUUACCUAGCGGCGGACGGGUGAGUAAUGCUUAGGAAUCUGCCUAUUAGUGGGGGACAACAUCUCGAAAGGGAUGCUAAUACCGCAUACGUCCUACGGGAGAAAGCAGGGGAUCUUCGGACCUUGCGCUAAUAGAUGAGCCUAAGUCGGAUUAGCUAGUUGGUGGGGUAAAGGCCUACCAAGGCGACGAUCUGUAGCGGGUUUGAGAGGAUGAUCCGCCACACUGGGACUGAGACACGGCCCAGACUCCUACGGGAGGCAGCAGUGGGGAAUAUUGGACAAUGGGGGGAACCCUGAUCCAGCCAUGCCGCGUGUGUGAAGAAGGCUUUUUGGUUGUAAAGCACUUUAAGCGA
RNAcentral lists this ribosomal RNA (412 nucleotides) under uncultured bacterium. RNAcentral describes it as "bacterial SSU rRNA". It matches the Rfam family "Bacterial small subunit ribosomal RNA", at positions 30 to 442 of the family's 1533-position model. The record is from RNAcentral.